UACGUAGGGUGCGAGCGUUGUCCGGAAUUAUUGGGCGUAAAGAGCUCGUAGGCGGUCUGUCGCGUCGAUCGUGAAAACUUGGGGCUUAACCCUGAGCUUGCGGUCGAUACGGGCAUGACUGGAGUUCGGCAGGGGAGACUGGAAUUCCUGGUGUAGCGGUGAAAUGCGCAGAUAUCAGGAGGAACACCAGUGGCGAAGGCGGCUACCUGGACCGGUUCUGACGCUGAGGCGCGAAAGCGUGGGUAGCAAACAGG
This 254-nucleotide ribosomal RNA is filed under the name uncultured bacterium. RNAcentral describes it as "partial 16S ribosomal RNA". It matches the Rfam family "Bacterial small subunit ribosomal RNA", at positions 524 to 776 of the family's 1533-position model. The record is from RNAcentral.